Long non-coding RNA from Oncorhynchus masou masou (cherry salmon), 1138 nucleotides. RefSeq lists it as uncharacterized. The record is from RefSeq and is a predicted model, not a curated record. NCBI's taxonomy places the organism in Eukaryota, Metazoa, Chordata, Actinopteri, Salmoniformes, Salmonidae. The transcript is spliced from 4 exons.
UGAUGUAAGAAGGGCUGUAUAAAAACAUUUGAUUUGAUGCUUAGAAGAGUAAGAGAAGUAGAGGGAGGGAUGGAUUGAGAUGCAGAAAGAGAGAGUGAGAGAGAUUAUUAUUGUUUUUAAUGUGCUUAAUAAAAUCAGCCGCAGGGCUUGGGACUGCCACACUAUGCAUCCUAAAUGGCACCGUAUUCCUUUCAUAGUGCACUACAUUUGACCAGAGCCCUUAAAAGUAGUGAACUAUGUAGGGAAUAGGGUGUCAUUUAGGACUCAGCCCCUGAGUUUCCGCAUUACACACACACACACACACACACACACACACACACACACACACACACACACACACACACACACACACACACAGCGACAGGGAACAGGAGACUCGUCCUCUUCUCUCUGGCUCUUCGUCCGCCAGGACAAAUGGUGGACUCCAAUCAAGUUGUAGAAACAUCUCAAGGAUGAUCAAUGGAAACAGGAUGCACAUGAGCUCAAUUGAGAGGCUCAUAGCAAAGGGUCUGAAUACUGAUGUAAAUAAGGACAGUGUGGUGGACUGUCAGCUCUCAGACCUUUGUGAGGAGGACACUGUAGAAGCUGUCCCCACGGUGACAAGGACAGGCAGAGACUGGACAACAUGCUGAUCCUGAAGAAAGGGCUGAGGGACAAUCACACCCUCACAGGACACACCAUCACUGCCCAAGAAUAAAUCUCUACUACAGGAGCUGGGUCGUGGCAGAGGUCUGGCUGUCAAACAGACUGAGAACUUGAGGAAGGCAUCCCACGAGCAGAUGGCUCAGUAUGUCCAGACACAUGAUGCAAAUAUUAAAGAUUAUGCUCCAUAUUGAUGUUGACUAAAAUAGAUUGACCACUGUGCUCACACUGGUUUAGGGAAGUUAUAGAAAUGCUUGAUUCCAUGCCAACUGAUGCCUGUCCCCCUCCCCCACCCUCCAGGUCUAAGAUGCUGCCCAGCGUCGCUCCUCGGUCAGAUCAAUGUUGAUUGCAAUAUCCCUGAGAUGAAUGUUGUAUAUACUAUAACGUUAUGGCUAUGAUGGAGAUAACUUGUACCUUUUUUUUGUACAGGUGUGAAUGAGACAAUGUCUUCCCCUAACCUUGUUCUUUCAAUAAAGUUCAUAUUUUAUUAAUAUUA